GGCAGAGCUGAGCACUCUAAUGGGACGUGCCGGUGACAAGCCGGAGGAAGGUGGGGAUGACGUCAAAUCAUCAUGCCCUUUAUGACCUGGGCUACACACGUGCUACAAUGGAUGGUACAGAGAGCAGCGAGGCAGCGAUGUGGAGCGAAUCUCAAAAAGCCAUUCUCAGUUCGGAUUGGAGUCUGCAACUCGACUCCAUGAAGUCGGAAUCGCUAGUAAUCGCGAAUCAGCAUGUCGCGGUGAAUGCGUUCCCGGGCCUU
This 260-nucleotide ribosomal RNA is filed under the name uncultured Syntrophomonas sp. Its description in RNAcentral is "partial 16S ribosomal RNA". It matches the Rfam family "Bacterial small subunit ribosomal RNA", at positions 1124 to 1382 of the family's 1533-position model. Lineage: Bacteria; Bacillati; Bacillota; Clostridia; Eubacteriales; Syntrophomonadaceae. The record is from RNAcentral.